GAUGAACGCUGGCGGCGUGCCUAAUACAUGCAAGUCGAGCGAACGGACGAGAAGCUUGCUUCUCUGAUGUUAGCGGCGGACGGGUGAGUAACACGUGGAUAACCUACCUAUAAGACUGGGAUAACUUCGGGAAACCGGAGCUAAUACCGGAUAAUAUUUUGAACCGCAUGGUUCAAAAGUGAAAGACGGUCUUGCUGUCACUUAUAGAUGGAUCCGCGCUGCAUUAGCUAGUUGGUAAGGUAACGGCUUACCAAGGCAACGAUGCAUAGCCGACCUGAGAGACGGAUCGGCCACACUGGAGCUGAGACGCGGUCCAGAGUACUACGGGAGGCAGCAGUAGGGAAUCUGCCGCAAUGGGCGAAAGCCUGACGGAGCAACGCGGAGUGAGUGAUGAAGGUCUUCGGAUCGUAAAACUCUGUUAUUAGGGAAGAACAUAUGUGUAAGUAACUGUGCACAUCUUGACGGUAACUAAUAAGAAAGCCACGGCUAACUACGUG
RNAcentral lists this ribosomal RNA (497 nucleotides) under uncultured bacterium. Its description in RNAcentral is "partial 16S ribosomal RNA". It matches the Rfam family "Bacterial small subunit ribosomal RNA", at positions 28 to 507 of the family's 1533-position model. The record is from RNAcentral.